UAGCACCACGGGAUUCAGCCGC
RNAcentral lists this microRNA (22 nucleotides) under Triops cancriformis. RNAcentral describes it as "tcf-miR-998". Its record names the gene tcf-miR-998. The record is from miRBase by way of RNAcentral. Lineage: Eukaryota; Metazoa; Arthropoda; Branchiopoda; Notostraca; Triopsidae.